UUUCUGGACAUUAUCGUGAUAACGUACGUAAUAAUGAUUAAAAUUUCUAAUAUUCAACAUCAUAAAAUGUGGACGAAGUCAGUGAAUCGCUGUUUUGUUUGAAAUUGUCGCCAUUUCUGAACGACCCUUUAAUAAAUUUAAACGGAAUGAAUCGAUGAUUGAAAUGGAUCGUCUAAACUUCAAGUUUGUGUGAGAACUAUCACGAUCACACAUUUAUCUCUCUCGUAAAAUAGAUAAAAUGACAUUGUACCGAGAACACGUGUGCCUGCAAAAGUUAGAUUGUUCUGUUGGAGAACCGACAAAUCGCUGUACUAGUGCCAGCUGCUCUCCAUCAGAUACUGUACUAACAUCUCAUUCUACCUCCGUAUGAAUGUGAUCGAUCAUCCAUUCUAUUUUUCUUUUUUCUUUUUUUUUAACACUCUCCAAUGCAUCGGAGAAGUAUUACAAGUGUUAUUUAUUAAGGCCUGUUACGAUGAUGAUGAUAAACAAUCUUUUGAAAGAGAAAUUCCAGACUGUACUAGGCAGGAUGACCUGAAGCCACUGCACCUUUGCAAUCAGACAGAGACGUCGGUAUGACAACAUAAAUAGAAGGAUUUGACGUUAACUGUUGUUUCUAUUGAUGCAACAUCCUUAUUGAUACAAAUGCUUCGAAUCUCUUCGUGUUUACGAUACCAAACUUCAAAUUAAUACAUAAAAUAUACGUGUCGCUUUUACGUUUCCUUCGUAUAAACAUGUCUAAAUUAAAAGGGACAAAAUAAAUAUAAAAAAGACGACUCGACUUCUAUCAAAUAUAUUCGGAAAAAUAAAUCGAAGUUGACAAAAUAUAUUCCCCUAGAAAAAAAUGUCGAAAGAUAGUUGAUGAGUGAGCUGUCAACUAAAGUUUUUCCUUCAUCACUACAACGAACUCGGACCAGAAAUCACGCACCACACCUAACAGCCUCCAUACAGAUAAGAUCUUUCUAAGGUUUAUAGGUGUGGUGCAAGAUUUCUCUUUUGGCUUUAGUUACGCAAGAAUUACUUUUCUUGCAAACAGAAAAAAAAAGAAAUUUUUUUUUUCACAAAAAAC
Molecule: long non-coding RNA, 1066 nt
Filed under: Androctonus crassicauda
Lineage: Eukaryota; Metazoa; Arthropoda; Arachnida; Scorpiones; Buthidae
Source: RNAcentral